GCACGACGAACUGGAAAUGGAGAAAAGUGGCUGGGUGGAUUGAAGCGACCAGCAGUCCCUGAGCCCCAGUCCCCCUUUCCUCUGGCUGGACUGGGAAAGUCCCUGGGGCUGGGCUGAGGUUUUUGAAGACGCUAAUAAACACCGUCACUUCUUAACACAAGUUAUUUGGAGCGAGACUUUGAAAUCCCCCGUGGUCUCGGUAAAUCGGGAGCCCUUCCCGACGUUUCCCUGCAGCACAAAUGACAUCCUACUGACGCUUUAAUGCCACCAAGCUUCCCCGCUCGCCAGCAGGACCCUCUCCUUCGGGGAUGAGAUGGCCGUGAGAGCCACAGCGGAAACACCGGGCAGGACCCACGCCAAAAGUCAUUCCCUCUCUCUCUUUAACAAGAAAAAAAAAAUAAAUAAGGGGGGAGGGAGGGCGAAACGGGCCUUUGCGAUCGCAGCGGUCACAUCACCCGGUAUCCACCCAAAAAUGGGGGAGCGGGGCCGGAGGCAGCCCGCCCCGGGGCCCGGGGAGCCGCCGGUAUGUGCGAGCGGGACUGCGAGGGGAAGGGAAGGGGAAGGGAAGGGAGGCAGGCAAAAAAAUCCAUGAAUGAAUAAAGAGGGAGGAGCCUGGGAAAACCCCUCUGCAACGCCGCACCGAACAAAGCGCUGCACACAUGCCGCGGGGGGGUGGGGGGGAAGUGGGGGAGAGGGACGGGGGGCGGCCGCGGCCCGGCACCCAGCGGGGACGGCGGCGGCGCCGAGAAGAGCCGGGCCGGGGCUCCGCGCCUACCAGUGCCCCCGAAACCCCGGCUGCAGACCCGGGGCGGAGGAAGCGCGGCCGGAGCAGUGACGUCACCGGGUCUCCCGGUCCCGCCCCCUCCCCGGGUCGGGGGAGGGGUCACCGAGGGGGUUUCCUCGCGGCCCGGUGGGGGAGGCCCGGCCGGGGGGCCGCUGCAGCCCCGCCGCCGCCUUCUCCUCCUCCUCUUCUUUCUCCUCCCGCUCCUUCUCACCGGGGGGGGACGCCCCCGGGCGCUGCCGCCCCGGCCCCUGCCCCGAGGCAAGGGGGGCACCUCGCCGCCGCGGCUCCCGGGGGUCUCCUCAAGGGGGGGUCCCCGCCGGGCACGGCACGAGGCAGCGCCUCCCCCCGACGGCCGAAGCCGCCGCCGCCGCUCGGGGCGCUGCGCGGUGCGCGUCGCGCUCCCCCCUGGCAGGGCCCGGCCCCCGGGGCACCGGCACGGCCGGGCGCACACACACACACACGCACACGGACGGACACGCAGGGAGACGGGGCUGAAGCGGAGAUCCCGGAGGUUCCUCCCUGCCGCCCGCCCGGACGGGCUUCCCCGCGCCCCCGCCCGCCCGGCCCGCCGCGCCCCGGCGCCGCCGGGGAAACUCACCGCCGCGCCGCGCAUCCCGCCGCGGCUACAACUUUCCAUCCCGGGCGGCAGCCGGCGGCGGCAGCGAGCCCCUCCGCCGCUGGAAGUGGGCGGGGGAGGAAAUACGAGGAGGAGGCGCGUCGUGCUCUCCGCCGCGGCGCCCCUUUUUUGGCCCGGGAUGCGGGUUUUGCCGGUGGGGGCUGUGCCGCCGCGGUUGGUUUCCUGCAUCAGCUGCGGAGUGUGUGUGCACAGCCCACACGUGUGUCUCUGUGUGUGUGUGUGUGUGUGUGUGUGUGCGCCGGGUCACCCUGCCCGGCCAAGGGCUGCCCUCCCUUCUCCCCCGCCGCGGGCAAGGCAGCGCUGGGCCGCCCUCCAGAAGGCGAGGGGACCCGGGCUGGGCUUUGGGUACUGAGGAGGGGGAUUUGGCGUUUCUUUUUCUUUUUCUUUUCUUUUUUCUUUUCUUUUUUUUUUUUCUUUUUGCACCCAAAUUCCCCGACAAAGCAGCAUUGGCAGCUUUUCAUUGCCACUCGGGUUUUCCAUCGGGUUUUCUUUUGAAGCCAGCACGUGAUGUCUUUAGCAAAUAAACCAAAUUAAAUAUUUCUUGCA
This is a long non-coding RNA of Parus major (Great Tit), 1967 nucleotides long. The record is from Ensembl. NCBI's taxonomy places the organism in Eukaryota, Metazoa, Chordata, Aves, Passeriformes, Paridae.